Molecule: long non-coding RNA, 282 nt
Filed under: Setaria viridis
Lineage: Eukaryota; Viridiplantae; Streptophyta; Magnoliopsida; Poales; Poaceae
Description: long non-coding RNA (SVIR_LNC001743)
Source: RNAcentral
GGGAGUUCUUGACAAUCAUUAAGUACCAAAUAUGACUGUCAAUAUACUCAAUAAUAAAGAAGGAUUGGCAUUUCUUACACACUUAUUUGUUUUCGAAUAAUGUAGUUCCACUUGUCCUUGGAGAUUAUUUGGUUGCAGGUGAAAUAACAUAAAAGGAUGGAGAAAGCACACUAUGGACCCGAGAAAAGCACUUCCAACCAAUGGGAGGUUACCACAUGUGCAUCCCAUGGAUUGAAGGGCCCACGAACUACCACAACUGCCUCAAUCCAACGAAUAACACAC